Trichosporon asahii var. asahii CBS 8904 is the source of this 93-nucleotide transfer RNA. It matches the Rfam family "tRNA". From Rfam's summary of the family: Transfer RNA (tRNA) molecules are approximately 80 nucleotides in length. Their secondary structure includes four short double-helical elements and three loops (D, anti-codon, and T loops). Lineage: Eukaryota; Fungi; Basidiomycota; Tremellomycetes; Trichosporonales; Trichosporonaceae. The record is from Rfam.
GGCGAGAUGGCCGAGCGGUCUAAGGCGCUGUGUUAAGGUGACUCCUAUCAUCUCCGCAGUCUUCGGACGUGGGUUCGAAUCCCACUCUCGUCA